Molecule: RNA transcript, 789 nt
Organism: Bombus terrestris (buff-tailed bumblebee)
Lineage: Eukaryota; Metazoa; Arthropoda; Insecta; Hymenoptera; Apidae
Exons: 2
Source: RefSeq, a predicted model, not a curated record
AAUACAUGAUUCGCUUCUAAUCACGUUAUAUUCUUGCUUUGCAAAUGCAUGAGAUUUCCAAAAAGAAAUUAAAUUUUCCAAAUCGAGUCACCAGUUCAGGUCUCGAAUAAUAAGUAAACCCAUUCUUGUCGCGGAGGACCAACUAAUUUAGCGGGUCCACGGAAUUUACAAUACAAAUAUCAUGACAACGUUCUUCUGGGUAACGCAUUCUUCUUUCCAAGUACGUAAGAGGCAUUGGGAAAUUUAAUGGAAGGUUUCUCAGACGAAAAGCGUAGAUUCCUCGGCAAAUUUGGAUGUCAAGGCACUGUUCACAGGGCGUGCACACGGUUGACCACCCCGAAACACCGUUGUUGCAUCGUCUCUCUUUCAUAAUGACGUGUUGCAUUCGCAUAAUCCCAGAGUAACAAUACCAGUCUUUGCUAUUAGUGUUAACAGAGGGAAGCCAAUACGAAGGCUGGGAAAAUUGCUGAUGGGGGCCGUGGCGGAACUUGCCUUUGUUAUAAAAGAAACGGAGACCAACGUUGAACGGACAGUGGUACACUACUGACAGAUCGGAAAAAUUAGUGCAAUUCCUUGAGGAGAUAACAGGUGUGUCAGCUGAUAGAGAAUGGCUUGCUUGAAACUUGAUGAUGUUUCUUUCUAGUACACAGUCCUGCUGCUGGCUGUCAUUAUUAGCAUCGUCGCUGCGAAACCAGGAUACUUAGGUGGAUACUACGGCGGAUAUUAUCCUUAUAUUUAUAGCUACAGAUAUCCGUUCUACGGAUAUGGACACGGAUUCGGACAUUAUGG